This 292-nucleotide ribosomal RNA is filed under the name Orientia tsutsugamushi. RNAcentral's name for it is "partial 16S ribosomal RNA". It matches the Rfam family "Bacterial small subunit ribosomal RNA", at positions 991 to 1278 of the family's 1533-position model. Lineage: Bacteria; Pseudomonadati; Pseudomonadota; Alphaproteobacteria; Rickettsiales; Rickettsiaceae. The record is from RNAcentral.
AGUCGCGAAAAAUGGAGACAUUUUUCUUCAGUUUGGCUGGACUACACACAGGUGUUGCAUGGCUGUCGUCAGCUCGUGUCGUGAGAUGUUGGGUUAAGUCCCGCAACGAGCGCAACCCUUAUUCUUAUUUGCCAGCGGGUAAUGCCGGGAACUAUAGGAAAACUGCCGGUGCUAAGCCGGAGGAAGGUGGGGAUGAGGUCAAGUCAUCAUGGCCCUUAUGAGUUGGGCUACACGCGUGCUACAAUGGUACCUACAGAGUGAUGCGAUACGGUGACGUGGAGCUAAUCAUUAU